Molecule: ribosomal RNA, 253 nt
Filed under: uncultured bacterium
Lineage: Bacteria
Description: partial 16S ribosomal RNA
Rfam family: Bacterial small subunit ribosomal RNA
Source: RNAcentral
UACGUAGGGUGCAAGCGUUGUCCGGAAUUAUUGGGCGUAAAGAGCUCGUAGGCGGCUUGUCACGUCUGCUGUGAAAACUCGGGGCUCAACCCCGAGCCUGCAGUGGAUACGGGCUAGCUAGAGUGCGGUAGGGGAGACUGGAAUUCCUGGUGUAGCGGUGAAAUGCGCAGAUAUCAGGAGGAACACCGGUGGCGAAGGCGGGUCUCUGGGCCGAUACUGACGCUGGGGAGCGAAAGCGUGGGGAGCGAACAGG